This is a non-coding RNA of Callithrix jacchus (white-tufted-ear marmoset), 101 nucleotides long. NCBI's taxonomy places the organism in Eukaryota, Metazoa, Chordata, Mammalia, Primates, Cebidae. The record is from Rfam.
AGGGAGUGGCCGUGAGGGAUCCCAAGGCCAGGUCUGGAAAAGGGGGGUGAGGGGGUGAGCGGCGCGGUGGGGGUGCAGCCCCCCAAACAAAGAAAUGGGAG